RNAcentral lists this ribosomal RNA (465 nucleotides) under uncultured bacterium. RNAcentral's name for it is "partial 16S ribosomal RNA". It matches the Rfam family "Bacterial small subunit ribosomal RNA", at positions 28 to 507 of the family's 1533-position model. The record is from RNAcentral.
GACGAACGCUGGCGGCGUGCUUAACACAUGCAAGUCGAGCGAGGCCCCUCCUUCGGGAGGGUGUCCUAGCGGCGAACGGGUGAGUAACACGUGGGCAACCUGCCCUCAGCUCUGGGAUAACUCCGGGAAACCGGGGCUAAUACCGGAUACGACCUCCACGGGCAUCUGCGGAGGUGGAAAGUUUUUCGGCUGAGGAUGGGCCCGCGGCCUAUCAGCUAGUUGGUGGGGUAGUGGCCCACCAAGGCGACGACGGGUAGCCGGCCUGAGAGGGCGACCGGCCACACUGGGACUGAGACACGGCCCAGACUCCUACGGGAGGCAGCAGUGGGGAAUAUUGCGCAAUGGGCGAAAGCCUGACGCAGCGACGCCGCGUGAGGGACGAAGGCCUUCGGGUUGUAAACCGCUUUCGGCAGGGACGAAGCGAAAGUGACGGUACCUGCAGAAGAAGCACCGGCCAACUACGUG